This 415-nucleotide long non-coding RNA is filed under the name Eucalyptus grandis. RNAcentral's name for it is "long non-coding RNA (EGRA_LNC005541)". Lineage: Eukaryota; Viridiplantae; Streptophyta; Magnoliopsida; Myrtales; Myrtaceae. The record is from RNAcentral.
AGGCGUCGGGCCGGAACUCGUGCUGACUAGUUCGCGCAAGUUUCGGUCCGAGCCGGUCCUCUUGGUAAGCUACUAGCUAUUCUAGUACGUGGUAGCAGUUUAGAUUUGUCUCAUGUCUCUAUCAAGUGGAAAAUCCCCCGUGCCAAUCGCGCACACCAAGUGCUUGUGAAAAUGCCUAAAUUAUAUCUAAGUUCUGCAAGUUUGUUGAAGCCUGGAGAUGGUUGUUCUUCGUUUAUGUCUGUUCCGACUUGAUUAACUGGUCCAUGAGCGGAUUUUUAGUAUGGCUUGUGCAUGUAGUGUUGAUGUCUGCCCCAAAUCUAUGUCCCAAGUGAGACUAGGUUCCUUUUGUUAACUGGUGCAUCCUAUAUGUUCGACUAAAUGCUUCAAAGAAGGCCGAAGGCUAGUACAUUUUUUU